RNAcentral lists this ribosomal RNA (173 nucleotides) under Candidatus Midichloria sp. OC112. RNAcentral's name for it is "partial 16S ribosomal RNA". It matches the Rfam family "Bacterial small subunit ribosomal RNA", at positions 640 to 812 of the family's 1533-position model. The record is from RNAcentral. Lineage: Bacteria; Pseudomonadati; Pseudomonadota; Alphaproteobacteria; Rickettsiales; Candidatus Midichloriaceae.
GCUUGAGUACUGUAGGGGGUAGCGGAACUCCUAGUGUAGGGGUGAAAUUCGUAGAUAUUAGGAGGAACACCGGAGGCGAAAGCGGUUAUCUGGACAGUCACUGACGCUGUUGCACGAAAGCGUGGGGAGCAAACAGGAUUAGAUACCCUGGUAGUCCACGCAGUAAACGAUGA